RNAcentral lists this transfer RNA (85 nucleotides) under Parcubacteria bacterium C7867-008. Its description in RNAcentral is "tRNA-Leu". It matches the Rfam family "tRNA". Rfam says of the family: Transfer RNA (tRNA) molecules are approximately 80 nucleotides in length. The record is from RNAcentral. Lineage: Bacteria; Candidatus Parcubacteria.
GCCAGGGUGAUGGAAUGGUAGACAUAGGGGGCUUAAACCCCCCAGGCAGUAACAUGCCGUGCGGGUUCGAGUCCCGCCCCUGGUA